UGGUGCCAUUAGUAUCAGCACUGUGGUUUUCUUUGCUGGUGUGGGGACAUUCUCCUGCUUUUCCCCACCUGAAUCUCCCAGCAUGCUGUGUUCCUUUUGCCUGAGAUUUUCAACAUUUUGCUCAUUCUUUUUCUCAGCUGGCGACGAUCCUAAAAACCACCGGCGCAUGGACGACCACAUUUCUGGCAGCAUCUUUAAUAAGAUAACCGGAUUUCCUCCUGUGGAAGCGUUGGUGUGAGAAACAGACACGUGUGGUGUCCAACUUUCCGUAAUUCUGCUGGUCUUGGUCAGUCCCACGCUAUCCACCUCCACAGCCGGCAAAAAGUGAUGGAGGUUGAAAGAAAAAAAAAGGCUGUACAAAAGCUGCAAGCUCACUGCAGCCUUACUGCAGCCUAUCAGAAUCAAGCACACUGCCAAGUCCAGCCUUGAAAGUGCCUACAGAACCAUCACUCUGUCAUUGUCAGGAUCUCCAUGGAAACCCCAGGCAAUAAGCAUGCAGGAGGAGAUUGGACUGAAGACAUUCACACACACACACACACACACACACAGACAGACA
This is a long non-coding RNA of Tachysurus vachellii, 556 nucleotides long. RefSeq lists it as uncharacterized. The transcript is spliced from 3 exons. The record is from RefSeq and is a predicted model, not a curated record. Lineage: Eukaryota; Metazoa; Chordata; Actinopteri; Siluriformes; Bagridae.